RNAcentral lists this ribosomal RNA (491 nucleotides) under uncultured bacterium. RNAcentral's name for it is "bacterial SSU rRNA". It matches the Rfam family "Bacterial small subunit ribosomal RNA", at positions 28 to 511 of the family's 1533-position model. The record is from RNAcentral.
GAUGAACGCUAGCGGCAGGCUUAAUACAUGCAAGUCGUGGGGCAGCAGGUUUGUAGCAAUACAGAUGCUGGCGACCGGCAAACGGGUGCGGAACACGUACAGAACCUUCCUUUGAGCGGGGAAUAGCCCAGAGAAAUUUGGAUUAAUACCCCAUAGUAUAAUGAAGUGGCAUCACUUUAUUAUUAAAGAUUUAUCACUCGAAGAUGGCUGUGCGGCUGAUUAGGUAGUUGGCGGGGUAAAGGCCCACCAAGCCUGCGAUCAGUAACUGGUGUGAGAGCACGACCAGUCACACGGGCACUGAGACACGGGCCCGACUCCUACGGGAGGCAGCAGUAAGGAAUAUUGGUCAAUGGAGGCAACUCUGAACCAGCCAUGCCGCGUGGAGGAUGAAGGUCCUCUGGAUUGUAAACUUCUUUUAUAUGGGACGAAAAAAGGCUUUUCUAAGUCGUCUGACGGUACCAUAUGAAUAAGCACGGCUAACUCCGUGCCAG